RNAcentral lists this RNase MRP RNA (390 nucleotides) under Neocallimastix californiae. RNAcentral describes it as "RNase MRP". It matches the Rfam family "RNase MRP". Rfam says of the family: RNase MRP is an enzymatically active ribonucleoprotein with two distinct roles in eukaryotes. In mitochondria it plays a direct role in the initiation of mitochondrial DNA replication. Lineage: Eukaryota; Fungi; Neocallimastigomycota; Neocallimastigomycetes; Neocallimastigales; Neocallimastigaceae. The record is from Rfam by way of RNAcentral.
AAACACCUCAAAGAAUCGCGAACGAAGCGUAACAUACUUAAAGUGAACUAAUUUUAUUAGUUAGACUUUUUUAAAACUGUUUUUUCAUCAUGUAUGAAAAAAUAGUCAAUGCUUUGGGGAAAGUCCUCGGAUACUAGGGCAGAAAGUGUCGCCUUUAGUAUAGGGUCAUAUUAAAGUUCAAUAAUCCUGCGAAGGGCUUAUAUUAUUUUAAGUCAUAGCUCUAUGGAUAGAUGAAUAUUUAAUAUUGAUCAUCAUAGCAAAGUUAUGCGAUUGUAUCAAAUCUAUAAUUUUAUUAUUGAAGAAAUUGUGAGACUUAUUUUUUUAUAAAAAUUUGUCUCUGUUCCGAUAUAAUAAGUGAUAUAACACAACGAGGCUUACUCUUGAGAUGUU